Molecule: long non-coding RNA, 220 nt
Filed under: Mytilus galloprovincialis (Mediterranean mussel)
Lineage: Eukaryota; Metazoa; Mollusca; Bivalvia; Mytilida; Mytilidae
Source: RNAcentral
GCGGAAAGAAAGUCUAAAAUUUUCGUUUAAAAAUAAAAUAUAAAUAAAAAUAAAAUACCAAAACUGAAAAACUGUUUGAGACAAUUAUCAGUUGAGAACUUAUGAUUAUACAUCACUAUAUGAAACUGAUAAAUUGAUUGCUCCCGUGCUCCAGUGGCAAAUAUAUCACGCAUAUUUACGACGUGGCGAAAAUGGAUCUAAAGUAAUUCAUUGAUACAUU